GAGGAUGGAGGCUGAGGCCGCCUGUUGAGUCACAGUUUCCCUGUGAUGCUCAUUUUAACCAGAUGGCACUUGCUUAGCAGUUUGGAGGAGAAGACCUGUUCCCCUGCAGGUAUGGGCCUUUGGGAUCAUUACCCUCUCCAGAUCUGGCAGCUCCAUCAGGUGGUGGCUCUUUCUCCAAACGUCCUUGACAGCUUUAGUGCUCCUCCUUCUACUGUGCCCUCUGAAAUGGGGUUUCUCCAUGUUGCCUGGUCUGGUCUUGAACUCCUGGGCUCAAACGAUCUGUCCAUCUUGGCUUCCCAAAACCUGAAGCCAGGCCAGCCUUCCAUGAUUAGACCUCAACUCAUGAGAACUCUUGCCUUGCUCACAAGUGGGAGUAAAUGCUCAUAGCUCUAGAAAUCUCCCAGGAACCAGACAUCACGGAAACUAGAAAGGCUAAGGGAGUCCAAUCUUCCUCUAAAUUGGCCAACAGUAGAGUGGUGGAAAGAGAACAAGCUGCAAACCAGACAGACCCAAGCUUGAAUCUCACCUCUGCCAAGCUACCAGGGACCUACCCCGAACUUUCAUGAACCCCUGGUAGCUGAAUAGCAGCUUGUCUAAGCGAGGUGCAGGGAUUUUGUCAAAGUCGGCCUCGGUGUUAAAGGCAGGGCCACCUACCAUGAACUUCUCUCUGUGACUUUAUUCUUUAGCAGUGCUCAAGUGUAAAUAAACUUGUUUACCAGGAUCAGAAUGGCCAUGUUAAUGAAGUCUUAUUUGUGUCACCACAAUGACAAGUAAUUUGUGCACAGCUGGACUCGGAGAGGGGACAAAACCAGAGAAAUUGUAUUUCUGUUCUGAAGUUUCCAUACAGAUGCCUUAGGCCAAAGUUAGUACAGCCAAUAUUUGCCUGUUUCUUUGGAUUGUGUGUCCAUGCUGGAGAAAAGCCUUGUUACUGUGCCCAGUGUGGUAAACGAAAUUAUAUGUACGCAGUGAGAAGAAAAAUGAAAUAAGAAGCACUGAUGAAUGUACCCACGGGUGUGACCUUGGGGGCCAGUGUGUGGUUUUUAUGAAAUGAACGCAUGAAUACGAGGACCCUAAUUAUUGCUUUCAACGGACAAAGUAUGGUGAAUAUAUAGAGAACGUUGCUGUACAACACUGGCUGUGUCUCAAAGCGGCUUUAGAAGUAAAUAUAGAAAUUCUUUGGUACAUGGUAUUGCAUAGAAAAGUCAUUAAGAAAAAAGCAAGACAAUUUGUUAAGACCUUGUUAAGUGGAGCUGGGGGAUGAUUAAUUUUGUUUGUUUGUUUUUGUUGUUCCCUGGUAGAGCUCAACAAACUACAGACCACGGGCCAAAUCUGACCCACCGCUGCUUUUGUAAAUAAAACUUUAUUGGAAAAAA
Molecule: long non-coding RNA, 1373 nt
Organism: Homo sapiens (human)
Lineage: Eukaryota; Metazoa; Chordata; Mammalia; Primates; Hominidae
Gene: LUNAR1
Product: leukemia-associated non-coding IGF1R activator RNA 1
Source: Ensembl